AAGGGCGCACGGUGAAUGCCUGGGCACUAGAAGCCGAAGAAGGACGUGACGAACCACGAAAGGCUACGGAGAGCCGUAAGUAAGCUAAGACCCGUAGAUAUCCGAAUGGGGGAACCCGGUGCAGAGAUGCAUCAUUAAAUACUGUUAAGGUAUUU
RNAcentral lists this small RNA (155 nucleotides) under Lactobacillus jensenii JV-V16. It matches the Rfam family "Bacterial large subunit ribosomal RNA", at positions 13 to 175 of the family's 2925-position model. The record is from RNAcentral. Lineage: Bacteria; Bacillati; Bacillota; Bacilli; Lactobacillales; Lactobacillaceae.